This 871-nucleotide ribosomal RNA is filed under the name uncultured crenarchaeote. Its description in RNAcentral is "bacterial SSU rRNA". It matches the Rfam family "Archaeal small subunit ribosomal RNA", at positions 1 to 879 of the family's 1478-position model. The record is from RNAcentral. Lineage: Archaea; Thermoproteati; Thermoproteota.
UUCCGGUUGAUCCUGCCAGACCUGACUGCUAUCGGAUUGAUACUAAGCCAUGCGAGUCAUUGUAGCAAUACAAGGCAGACGGCUCAGUAACGCGUAGUCAACCUAACCUAUGGACGGGAAUAACCUCGGGAAACUGAGUAUAAUGCCCGAUAGAACAUUAUGCCUGGAAUGGUUUAUGUUCCAAAUGAUUUAUCGCCGUAGGAUGGGACUGCGGCCUAUCAGUUUGUUGGUGAGGUAAUGGCCCACCAAGACUAUUACAGGUACGGGCUCUGAGAGGAGUAGCCCGGAGAUGGGUACUGAGACACGGACCCAGGCCCUAUGGGGCGCAGCAGGCGAGAAAACUUUGCAAUGUGCGAAAGCACGACAAGGUUAAUCCGAGUGGUUUCUGCUAAAGGAACCUUUUGUUAGUCCUAGAAACACUAACGAAUAAGGGGUGGGCAAGUUCUGGUGUCAGCCGCCGCGGUAAAACCAGCACCUCAAGUGGUCAGGAUGAUUAUUGGGCCUAAAGCAUCCGUAGCCGGCUCUGUAAGUUUUCGGUUAAAUCUGUACGCUUAACGUACAGGCUGCCGGAAAUACUGUAGAGCUAGGGAGUGGGAGAGGUAGACGGUACUCGGGAGGAAGGGGUAAAAUCCUUUGAUCUCUCGAUGACCACCUGUGGCGAAGGCGGUCUACCAGAACACGUCCGACGGUGAGGGAUGAAAGCUGGGGGAGCAAACCGGAUUAGAUACCCGGGUAGUCCCAGCUGUAAACUAUGCAAACUCAGUGAUGCAUUGGCUUGUGGCCAAUGCAGUGUUGCAGGGAAGCCGUUAAGUUUGCCGCCUGGGAAGUACGUACGCAAGUAUGAAACUUAAAGGAAUUGGCGGGGGAGCAC